This is a long non-coding RNA of Camelus dromedarius (Arabian camel), 9360 nucleotides long. RefSeq lists it as uncharacterized. Lineage: Eukaryota; Metazoa; Chordata; Mammalia; Artiodactyla; Camelidae. The record is from RefSeq and is a predicted model, not a curated record. The transcript is spliced from 13 exons.
CUUAAAUACAUUAUGUUACUGUCUGCUGACUUUUGAUGCACUUUCUAAAUAAUGGCAUACUAAACAUAUAGCAUUAUCAUGAUAAGCAAUUGAAAAAAUGUAAAGAUGAGGGACUAGACAAUGAAUCUAGAAUUAGCAGAACAGCUUUUUAAAAGUCAAAAAUUGUGUUCUCAGUAUUAUUUAUGUGAAAAAAAGAAAAGAGCACUGAUUCUCAGAUAUUGCUUCCCUCUAAAGCUGGUUUUAGCUAUUAUUAAACCUGAUCCUCUUUGAGAAGUAUCAAAGAUUGUUAUCACAUUUGUCCAGCAUCCUGCUCACCAAACAAGGCAUCUUACAUAGUAUGGUAGGAGAAUUCUAAGACUGACCCCAAGAUUACCACCUCCUGUUGAACAUGUUCUAUAUAACCCCCUAUGUGAAUAUGAUGGGAUUUCAUUCCUAUGAUUAGGUUACAUUAUUUACAAAGGUAAAGGGAUUUUUGCAGAGGUGCCUAAUAAGGUCCCUAUUACGCUGACUUUGAGUUAGUUGAAGACUAUCCUGAGUGGGCCUGACAUAAUCAGGUAAGCCUUUAAAAGAGAGUCCAGAUCUUCUCUGAAGGGAGAGAGCUGAAAUGAGAGAGGUGCUCUCCUACCGGCUUUGAAGAAGCCAACAGCCAUGUUGUGAACUGCCUAUGGAGACAGCCACGUAGCAAGGAUCUGAGAGCAGCCUGAGCUGUUGAAAGUGGUCCUUGGCUGACAGCCAGCAAGAAAAUGGAAGCCUUGGUGCUACUGGAACAAGGAACCAAAUUUUGCCAACAACCACAUGCUUGGAAAAGAACUCUGAGUUUCAGAAAGAAGCACAGCCAAGCCAAACGUCUAGACUGCAGCCGUAGGAGCUACUAAGUGGAGCAUCCAGCUGAGCUGUGCCUGGACUGCUGGCCAUGGAAAUGGUCUGACUCAUUGAAAAUGAACAUCAUAUUAAUGCCCAGCUCCAUACCAGCAUAUGCAUAUGCACCAACCCCAUGCAGUCAUGGCUCCAGCCGCCCACCCCUCUGACCUUCAGAAACUCCGCUGUCAAAGGGCAUGAGCUCCUCAAAGGCCGAGGUUCAUUAACCUCCCACAUUAAGGAAAUCCCUGAUGUUGGAAAAAAGCCCCUUCUCUCUCUCUCAGAUGAUACACAUGCUAUCUGGGGUCCCUAGAAUGACACAUCGAGACCUAACUCAUGAAAAAACAACUGCAUCUGACAUAAGGAGACUUCACAUCCAUCCUACGGUGGUCUUCGCUGGCUGAGAGAUUUGGGUAUUUCUUCAAUAAUUUAAAAAAUACGUGACUUAAGAGAAGAGAAAAUAACUUACAAUGUUUUGAAAUUGAUUGAAACCCUGAGAUCUGCAGUAUGCUCUGUGGAUCAUAGAUCAGAAAGAAGAUCUGGGAAAGAAGUUGAGUAAAAAUAAGAAUGCAAUUUUCUAUGGAAACAACGUCUCCAAACCCUGAAAUUACUGCUUAGAUUGGAUCUACAGUCAUGAAAACAGCCUCCGUGCUUCGAGAAAGCUGCAAAAACUUAAGAAGGAAAAUGGCUCAAGAUAGACAUUUAUUGGAUUAGAUCUUGCCACUACUUUAAGCAUAAAGAGCUGCAUGCUGAUGGGCAGCAAAAGAAAGCUGGUUUUCUCAGAUGAUGCACUUGGCUGAUAUGGAUGAUCCCGGUGAAAAUAAAGGAAAACAAUGAGCAUCAUUCAGCUCCCAGUUCUGCAAGGGUUAAGUUGUCAUCCACUGCAAUUGCUCACCCUGAGAGGAAUUAGGGAUGAGAAACAAGAUGAGUCACUCCGUGCUUUGGAUAAACAGGCCUUUAGAUAGUUGGGCUUAUAUCUCAGGAAACAUUUCAGUGACCCCCCCCCCCCCCAGAUUCUUGCAUCUUCCCAUACAUAGAAAAGCACCAGAAACAUUAACUUUAAAUAUCUGUUCUUUGUGAUUAGCAGUAACCUUUUACCAAGACAUAUGUUUGAAUGCAUGUAUUUCCUAGCCCAAAAAACCAUGUACAAACUGACAUCGCCUCCACCUCUUUUGGAGCAGUUCCCUCAGAGCCACUGAACUUCUGUCUCCUGGACUACAGUCCUCAGUAAGCCCCUGAAAAAAACUUAUACUCACAACUCUUACUCUGUGCAUUUUUCUUUGACACCUGUUAAAGCUGUACUUUAGAACCAGACUAUAUGGAUUCGGGUCAGAGUGUGCUACAGACUUGGGGAGGUUAUGACUUGGACAAGUUAUUUUUACUCUCUGAACCUGUUUCCCCAUCUAGAAAAUGGGGGCAAUAAUAGAUCCAAUUUCAUCGGGUCAUUAUAAAAUUAAAGAGAUAGUGUAUGUAAAGUUCAGAUUACAGUACAUACAUAGUAAACGCUCAAAAUGGAGCAGUUAUUGUCAAUUUGUUAGAGGCACGGAGAGUGAAAUUUCAGGUUCUAGGUAAAUUAUUUUUUGCUAUUUUCUUUACUAACAUGUCUUGAGUUUAUCUGAAAGGCAAGCAGUGGAGUUGAAGGAAAUAAAAUAUUCCCUUUUAUGUGAUAAUAGAAUUGGCCAUUAUUCCUGUAAAACUCAAUUGGGUAAUACUAUGAACCAGUGUUCUGACUGUUCAUAAAGCAAUGUGGGCUAAUUACGUCCGAGUAUUUAAGGAAUCCUUUUUGCUAUGUGAUAACAUUGGGUCUAUAACUGAUGGCUAAAGGAGAUACUGGAAAACAGUUUGAUUUAAUCACUACUUUAUCACUUUAAAGUGCAUCUACUACCCAACCCAGCACUGUGUUAGGAUGACUUGGGAGGCACAGAAGACACAUGUGAUAGAUCUGUGCUCAGAAACAUUGCCAGUUUGGGAUUGAUGAUGAUUUGGGACUGAAGUGAUUGGGAGUGUUACGGACCUACUAAUCUGGGUCUGUUAUAGUAACAAGAAUAAAUCAUCCUUCCUACAGAAAUAUUUUUGACAUGUUCUGCCUAUAUUCACUGCUUAACUCUACACUUAAGAGGAGAUAAGGUUAUUUAUCCAUAUUGAAUGAGGAUGGACAAAUCUGGGUUCAAAACAAGUAAAUUAUUUUUCCAAAGCCCGGUCAGGAGAUGGAAAGCCAUGGUUAGAGGCCUAUUCUCUUCAUUUUCCUGUUAGAUUUCAGCCCUUCACACAUCAGAGUUUUGCCAGAUGCUGAACGCAGUGAGGCAGUUCGCAGGAGCACUGAACUCGGAAUCAGAAGUUACUGCCAUUUAGGAUUUGUGUGGUGACUUUGGGAAUGACUUAAAAAAAAAUCUCAUUUGUAAAAUGGAAAUGAUAGUUAUGCUCAAGAUGAAUUUGAGAAUUUAGUAAGAUGGGGAUGUAAAACCACCUGGCACUGACUAGUUGCUCAGUAAAUGUCACUUGCUUCCUAAGGCUGCUCUGCCAUCUAGAAUUAAAACACUAGUACUUUUAAAGUAUUGUGUUUUUUCUAAUUUACAUCCAGUCAGUAAAAGAUAUUUCUUUCUCUUUCCUUUAUGGAAUUUCCCUGUGAUUAAAGUUUGACUCUGCAUGUGUGUGUGUGUGUGUGUAUGUGUUGCUUGGUUUUUUUGUUUUAGUGCUUUUUUGAAGUUGUAAGGAAACCCAGGGCCAGUGUGCAUUUUUGGAAUUGAAGGGAUGAGGGAUUCUUGUUUUGUUCCUUGGAUUUUACUGAAUUGAUCCAUCUACCAGCACAGGUCAUAUAGAUAUGCUCUUUGUGAAAGUCACACAAGUAGUAAGAAAGAGAGCAGUUAUAAGAGGAGAAAAUAAAGUAGGACAGUGACUAAAUUUAGGAUUGGGCAUAAGAUGAGGAAAGUCUCCUAGUAACAGAGGCAGGUAGCAAAUGGGAGGGCUUUGGCUGGACGAGGGAAUUAAGACCCAGAAGCGGGAGUGAGCGCCUGGCUCAGAUAAGCCCAGCAUUAAGUCAGGAAGAGAGGAUCUGAAUACACACAGCCCAACACAAGAUGAAACUGUAAAUAUGUAUGUUCACUACAAAGCAGCUUAGAGUAGAGACAAAGGAAGAAAGAGGUCUGGACAACCUCAUAAAUCCACAAUAGGAUCAAGUCAGAAGGUCAAAACACAGAGGACAAAGACAUUUAUUUCACGCACAAUGAAACCAUUAAUUGUAAAUUCCCCUGUAUUUUCUUUAACAGAAGUGGUCUAGUUUGAAAGAAUUUAUAGCUCUUUUCUGAACAGCAGAGUUGAAUUUUGUACUCUUUUCCAAGGAAAAUUCUGUUGGGCCUCUAAUAACAAUGAUUAAAGUGAAAAGAUAUUUAAGCACUUUAAUUGAAAGUCAUUUAUUCACCCAGAGGCCAAGUACAAUACUGGUGGGCAGAAUAUUUGAUUCCCCUCCCAGCCCUACCAAUGUAUUCUGCUUCAUAAUAGUACAGAUGAAGCGAUGUGUCUUGCAGCAAAAAAAAUGAUUCUGUUUCCACGGUAACAUAAGUCUCAGCUGCGUUUCCUCAGUGGUGAAGGACAACUGCUCUGUCUACCACGUGUGGGUCUGAAGGGAUGAUUAGGAGUGGAGGAGGAGUGAGCCAAGACCAGCGAAGGUAAUUUCCCCUCUGGCUGCCUGUCACAGAAGCACCAGAAUCCUGUGAAAUAAAUACAACCAUUGUGUGCUCCUUUUUAAAAAUUCUACACCCCAACUUUCUGAAUUGGCUUCCCCCCAAAAUAAUUGCCAUGGAAGAGCAGGGGGAAAAAUUCACCUUUUAAAAUGCUUGAGGGGAGGGCAUAGCUCAGUAGUAAAGCACAUGCUUAGCAUGCACAAGGUCCUGGGUUCAAUCCCCAGUACCUCAAUUAAAAAUAAUAAUAAAAUUUAGAAAAUUGUUAAGUGGGGGAAGGGCAUAUAGCUCAGUGGUAGAGCACAUGCAAGGUCCUGGGUUCAUCAUGCACAAGGUCCUAGGUUCAAUCCCCAGUACCUCAAUUAAAAAAAAAUAAUAAAAUUUUAAAACAGGUGGAGGAUAUAGCUUAGUGGUAGAGCAUGUGCUUAGUGUGCAUAAAGUCCCAGGGUCAAUCCCUAGUGCCUCCAUUUAAAUAAAUAAAUAAAUAAACCUGAUUAACUCCCCCACAAACAACAAAUAAACAAAAUGCCCUUAGUCAUCUCCUUGAAAAACAACCCCCAAGCACACUGAACAUAUUUCAUGUCCCAGCAUCAUUUCUUCUGUGCUGUGCAUGGCUCCCCCCCUUCACUAAUGUAAAUGUACUCAUGCUCCUUUUCUUGGCCCAGCUCUUCUUUACUUCCAGACCCUCACGCCCAUCCCCAAGCUGUACCACACCAAAUGAGAGGCCUUGAUUAUUUUGAGCCCCCUGCAAGAUGAACUUCCCCUGCAGAGAUUCCUGCUUUUCUCCGUCUACACAAGGACCCCCAUUGGUCACAAGAUGCAUGCUGUUUGGCCUGUGCCCCACUUUCUCUGCUCGUAUCUAGUUAUCUGCCUGCUCUAACAAUAACAGAAGAGUUGUUUGAAGAAUAUGUAAAGUAUUUAUAUCAAUAAGAGUGAGUGGAGCUGUGAGCUGGCAGAAGCUUUAUCCCAGAGAACUUAGUGGAGCAGAGCUGCCAUUCAGGUCUCAGAUACAUGCCUUUAGACUUUUACACAGUAGGGAAAUGAAUGUCUAUCUUAUUUAAAAGUAGUAAAGUUUUUUUUUUGUUUCCCAUUUCUCCCAGCUGAACUUACUUCUGAUCAAUAUGCUGUUUUUUUUCUUUUCCCUUAGGAAAAUAUUUUGGGGAAAACCAUGACUAGCUGAAGGCCCCCCCUCUUUACUACCCAUAAAAUUUGACUCAAAAAUUCUAUGAAAAUAUUACAUGAACUGUUACUUAUGAAGAGUAUUCUGAACUGAAUGUUUGUUUCCCCAUAAAAUUCAUAUGUUGAAGCCUUAACCCCAAAGAUGAUGGUAUUUGGAAGUAGAGACUUUGGGAGGUAAUUAGUGUUAGAAGAAGUCAUGAGGGAGGAGCCCCUGUGAUGAGAUUAGUGCCCUGAGAGGAGGAGCGUUAGAGGAAGCUUUCUCUGUCUGCCAUGUGAGGAUACAAUGAGAAAGCAAUCUGGCAGGAGAGCUCUCACUAGGGGAAAAAAUCUGCCUUGAUCUUGGACUUCCCAGCCUCCAGAUCUGUGAAAAUAAAUGUCUGUUGCUUGGACCACCCAGCCUAGGGUAAUUUUUUAUGGCAGCUUGAGCUAAGACAAAGUAUUUAAAAUAAGAAGGUACUUGUAUUAGCAAGGAAAAGAAUGUAACAAGUUCAACUCUAGAAACCAACUACAAUGAUUUAGAAGAGAAUUUUAGUUAAAAUCUUAAGCAGUCAAAAGGUACAGACUUCCAGUUAAAAAAUAAAUAAGCAUUAGGGAUGUAAUGUACAACUUGAUAAAUAUAAUUAACACUGCUGUAUGUCAUAUAUGAAAACUGUUAAGAGAGCAAAUCCUAAUAGUUCUCAUCACAAGGAAAAUAUUUUUCCUAUGUCUUUAAUUUUAUUUUUAUAUGAGAUGAUGGAUGUUCACUAAACUUACUGUGACAAUCACUUCACAAUAUAUGUAAGUCAAAUCAUUAUGCUGUACACCUUAAACUUAUACCCUGCUGUCUGUCAAUUAAAUCUCAGUAAAACAGGAAGAAAAAAAAUCUUAAGCAUAAAUUAUGGGUUGAAGAUAUAUCCCAAAAGAAAGUUCUGUAGUUCUAAGUAAAACCCGAUUGUCAAGACACAGUAUUCAGAUCACAGAGAAGGGGGAGGGAUGGCUCCGAAGACAGAGCGUAGAUAAGACCCCCUCCGUGGAAAGAAGGUCUGAGACCUGGGUGAGAAAUGACAGACCACUGGCUGUUAUCUCCCUGAGUAAGUAAAUAUUCCGUCCCCAAAUGAAAGAGCUUUCCUGGCAGUUUUCACCCAAAGUGAGAGGAGAGCUCCCCACACAGUCUGCUUAUCUCUCUUGGAUAGGAACCCAGUCACUGGGACCAAACAAGGCAGCAGCCAAAAUACCAGGUCACGUGUACAUUUUCUGCCUUUCAUUCUUAGCCUCCUUCUGUUCUCCAGGGGAGGGGAAAAUGAGGAGGGAAGUGAGAAGGAAGAGGCUGCUUCUUCCAAAAGCCACUGUCCUUUGCCUUUAGUCUCAUUGAGUUCCUACCUCGCCUGGGAAUAACACAGACUCUUAUGGGAUACUCAAGGGACCUCGGUCAGGGUUAUAAAAUUCAAACCAAAUCCAGGUGCCAGGUGGAACAUGCAGCCACAGGAUUGAAACAAGCAUAUCCCCUGAGUAUCAAGUCUAUUUAAGAUAUUUGAAGAAAGAACAUUAUUUUCACGUGAAAGAAUAGAAUGGCGAAUUUACAUGAAUUCUUAAGAUAAAAAGAAACUCCAAAUUAUUUCAUGCCUGUGGCUUCGGGUCAGAAGUCCACAUUCCCUGGGGCUCACUAUAUUUCUCUUCUGACGUCAGGAAUCUUUCAGUGAAAAAUUUUCAGAAGCACUGCAGUAAGAUAAAUUCAGAAAAAUGCGUUCAUUGGAUCUGACAAUUCUGAGGUCUCUGGUGACAGGGGAAGAGCAGUUUCAGAGAAUUGGUUUUAGGAGGGGAUGCGGUGAGGCAGUGAGGGUAGUUGGGCCAUAAAAAGAAGAAAGAGAUGGUAUAAGAGCCAGGGUGGGCUGUGGGGUCCUGCCCCAUGACCACCGCUGUGCUCAGUGCCAGGCAGCACAGUGCCGCAAUUGUGGUGGGGUCUCUCGAAGGAGAGGCCAUUCCAUCGCCGGGGCAGCACGCAUCCAGCACACUGGGAGUGGGAGGGGGCCCGGAGCUGGGCAGAGACUGGCGAGCAUUAGUGGGCCGUAGAGAUGGACGGUGUACAACACGUAAUAAGACCUGUGUUAGGAGCACCUGGGGUCUCCUUCUGACUGUGUCCAGAAUUAGCGAUGCUGUUUUGAGCAAAUCAGGUUCUUACCAUUUUUUGUCUGCACAACGAGGUUUUUGGAUUGAAUGCUCAUCAAGUAUUAGUCCAGCCCUAACGUUCAAGAAUAAAGCUAUUUAUUUAUUUGAUGAUAACUCAUGGUCUCUUCCCAAACCUUUUUGACUUCCUGGCUACUUUAACUCCAGGUGGAAAUCUUUAUAACAACUGGCACAUUAAGAAAACAUUGGUUCUCUGAGAGCUGAAAGUUAAAAGGUUUCUGCUGGCUCAGUUAGAAAAAGUAAAUACAGCUCUUGAGAAUGCUUGCCUCUGCCAGCUGCUCUGCACUGCCUGCCAGCCUCUGGACAUGACACGGGGGAAAAACCCCGGGCAGACCUGGUAACAAGAAGAGCAUCAACACUCCUGUGUUCCCUCCGUGGGCCAGCCGGCUGACUGCAGACUCGUGUCGUCUGUCACUCACCUCAUCUAUUAAUUCGAGACGAGAAUAAACAUACCGAUUACUUGCAUGGCCGGUUCCACGUCUGUUGUGGCCUCUUCCAGCAACGACAGCAGCUUGGCUGAUAUCUGAUGCACAGAUUCAAUGUUGCUAAACAAGCUAUCCACGUCCAGCCGAUCAAUCUGAAGAAAUACAAAAAGUGAGCACCAGCGGAUGGAGAGAGACGCACAGUAUUUAGCAUAUUUCUCCUGCUAAACAGUGUUGCCUCACCCACCUUGGAUGCCAUAGGUCACACAUGUCACACAGAACGGCUGCCACCACUGAAACACCCCACUACUAACCUCGACUUGCAUGCUAAAACUGUGGGCACCAUUUUCCAUUUGGGGGCUCUGCGUCUGGGGAGAGCUUGAUACUGUUCUCCUCAAAUUUAUGGCCCCUCAAUAAAGAAAAGAAAAUAUUUUCUAUUUAAGUUAAUAUUUGUUAUUUGUGGUUUAAAAUAAAACAUGCAAAAAUAUAUUCUUCAGGGGGAAGAGGUUCCCUAAGGGUUUAUGUGGUAUGAUUACAAUUUCACAAGAUAUUUGGUGUGUCUGUAUAAGCCUAGACAUAAACCAAAAUAUUUAUCGUGUUUAUUUCUACCUGAUACAGCUAUAGGUGAUUAUAUUUUGUCUAUGUAUUUUUCUAAGAAAAAUUAUUUACAAAAUUGCAGCCAUAAAGGGUACCCAAAUUUUAACAGAAAAUUCCAGCUGAGCUCUUGUCAAUACAAGAUUAUUGGCCCUUUUUUUCAGAAAACACAAAACAGCAAGUAUAAUUAGAUCAAGUAUGAGCAAAUCCAAAAUAAAUACAUAUAACUCUCUUAUUGUGUAAAUAAAAAUCAACUUAAUGUGUAUUCAAACAUAUACACUUGUGAACAGAAUACCCUUGGAAGGGUAAAAAGAAGCUGGUAAUGGUGUUUGCCUCUGGAAAAGGAAACUGAGUAGCUAUAAGACAUUAUCGGGUCCUUCAGAUCUUUGGUAUUUUUGUAUUAUGUGAAUUUUACAAGUUCAAAAACUAAUUAAAACAAAGAAAAAUUAAACAUGUAUUUAAAGUCC